This 511-nucleotide ribosomal RNA is filed under the name uncultured bacterium. Its description in RNAcentral is "bacterial SSU rRNA". It matches the Rfam family "Bacterial small subunit ribosomal RNA", at positions 501 to 1013 of the family's 1533-position model. The record is from RNAcentral.
CUACGUGCCAGCAGCCGCGGUAAUACGGAGGGUGCGAGCGUUAAUCGGAAUAACUGGGCGUAAAGGGCACGCAGGCGGUGACUUAAGUGAGGUGUGAAAGCCCCGGGCUUAACCUGGGAAUUGCAUUUCAUACUGGGUCGCUAGAGUACUUUAGGGAGGGGUAGAAUUCCACGUGUAGCGGUGAAAUGCGUAGAGAUGUGGAGGAAUACCGAAGGCGAAGGCAGCCCCUUGGGAAUGUACUGACGCUCAUGUGCGAAAGCGUGGGGAGCAAACAGGAUUAGAUACCCUGGUAGUCCACGCUGUAAACGCUGUCGAUUUGGGGAUUGGGCCUUGAGCUUGGUGCCCGAAGCUAACGUGAUAAAUCGACCGCCUGGGGAGUACGGCCGCAAGGUUAAAACUCAAAUGAAUUGACGGGGGCCCGCACAAGCGGUGGAGCAUGUGGUUUAAUUCGAUGCAACGCGAAGAACCUUACCUACUCUUGACAUCCAUGGAAUCUUGUAGAGAUAKAGAG